RNAcentral lists this ribosomal RNA (406 nucleotides) under uncultured bacterium. Its description in RNAcentral is "partial 16S ribosomal RNA". It matches the Rfam family "Bacterial small subunit ribosomal RNA", at positions 30 to 526 of the family's 1533-position model. The record is from RNAcentral.
AUUGAACGCUGGCGGCAGGCCUAACACAUGCAAGUCGAACGAGUGGCGGACGGGUGAGUAAUGCCUAGGAAACUGCCUGGUGGAGGGGGAUAACGACUGGAAACGGGAGCUAAUACCGCAUACUAUCAGAUGAGCCCAGAUGGGAUUAGCUAGUUGGUGGGGUAAAGGCCGCCCAAGGCGACGAUCCCUACCUGGUCUGAGAGGAUGACCAGCCACACUGGAACUGAGACACGGUCCAGACUCCUACGGGAGGCAGCAGUGGGGAAUAUUGGACAAUGGGCGACAGCCUGAUCCAGCCAUGCCGCGUGUGUGAAGAAGGCCUUCGGAUUGUAAAGCACUUUCAGCUGGGAGGCGUUACCCGCAGAAGAAGCACCGGCUAACUCCGUGCCAGCAGCCGCGGUAAUUC